GAUGAACGCUGGCGGCGUGCCUAAUACAUGCAAGUCGAGCGAACAGACGAGGAGCUUGCUCCUCCGACGUUAGCGGCGGACGGGUGAGUAACACGUGGAUAACCUACCUAUAAGACUGGGAUAACUUCGGGAAACCGGAGCUAAUACCGGAUAAUAUAUUGAACCGCAUGGUUCAAUAGUGAAAGACGGUUUUGCUGUCACUUAUAGAUGGAUCCGCGCCGCAUUAGCUAGUUGGUAAGGUAACGGCUUACCAAGGCGACGAUGCGUAGCCGACCUGAGAGAGUGAUAGGCGACAGUGGAACUGAAACACGGUCCAGACUCCGACGGGAGGCAGCAGUAGGGAAUCUUCCGCAGUGGGCGAAAGCCUGACGGAGCAACGCCGCGUGAGUGAUGAAGGUCUUCGGAUCGUAAAACUCUGUUAUUAGGGAAGAACAAAUGUGUAAGUAACUAUGCACGUCUUGACGGUACCUAAUCAGAAAGCCACGGCUAACUACGUG
Molecule: ribosomal RNA, 497 nt
Filed under: uncultured bacterium
Lineage: Bacteria
Description: partial 16S ribosomal RNA
Rfam family: Bacterial small subunit ribosomal RNA
Source: RNAcentral